UCCUGACUGCUCAUUGCUUUGAUCCUGGUAUCACGACCAAAUGAAACAGGAUGAGAAGUAAAAGGUAAGACCAGAAUCUAAGGUAUAAGGAUUAAAGAUGAAAGCUUAAGGACUAAAAGCAGGAUCCACAUGAUGUUCAGGAUCAAAGUUAAAAAGCAGGACGUGGA
Long non-coding RNA from Thalassophryne amazonica, 167 nucleotides. RefSeq lists it as uncharacterized. The transcript is spliced from 2 exons. Lineage: Eukaryota; Metazoa; Chordata; Actinopteri; Batrachoidiformes; Batrachoididae. The record is from RefSeq and is a predicted model, not a curated record.